RNAcentral lists this ribosomal RNA (329 nucleotides) under uncultured eukaryote. RNAcentral's name for it is "partial 18S ribosomal RNA". It matches the Rfam family "Eukaryotic small subunit ribosomal RNA", at positions 1470 to 1796 of the family's 1831-position model. The record is from RNAcentral.
CCCUUAGAUGUUCUGGGCUGCACGCGCGCUACACUGAUGCAUUCAACGAGUCUAAAACCUGCUCUGAUAGGGGUGGGUAAUCUUUUGAAUGUGCAUCGUGAUUGGGAUAGAUGAUUGCAAUUUUUCAUCUUCAACGAGGAAUGCCUAGUAAACGCAAGUCAUCAGCUUGCAUUGAUUACGUCCCUGCCCUUUGUACACACCGCCCGUCGCUCCUACCGAUUGAAUGAUCCGAUGAAUAUCAUGGAUUGAGGAUGCAAGUAGGUUAGCCUAUCUUCAUCUUCGAGAAGUGAAGUAAAUCUUAUCAUUUAGAGGAAGGAGAAGUCGUAACA